UCCCAAGUAAUGGGAAUAAAUCAGCCCAUCUUCCCAGAGUGCAGGAGCAGUACUGCUAACACGAGCCGGAGAUUCACCACCCGGGCACUGAGAGGAAAGGAGGCAAAUGAUAAUGAGUCAUUAUGAGCCUACAUGGUGUUGUGGGAACAGGCCUGAUUGCCAGAGUCUGAGAAUCAUGGAAUUUCAGAGUUGGAAGGGGCUUCAGUGGAUAUCUAGUCCAAACCAAACCUGGAAAAAUAAUUCCCUCUACAAGAAUUUCAAGACUGAUGUAAUUCAAUUCAUCUAGCAACAUGUGCAUUUGUUGGUCAUGGGAUAAAGAUCACACAUUUUGAAAACCAAUAAUCAAGGUAUAGUUUACAGACACUCUAAGAAUUAUUAGAAUUCUCUGCUCUUUCUUCUGCCAAUGCACCAUCUUUGCAGGAGUGGAAAAGGCAACAGAGGUUUGAGCACCAUUUUGUACUUUUUAUUUCAUCAUUUAGGAUAGCCAAAUAAUUCAUCAUGAAGUGGUCAGCCUCCUGAUGAAAAGCUCCUCUAAAACUAGGUAGACUGUUCUUCAGAAAACAGAGUCAAUUGGUUAUUGGGACUAUCCUAGAAACCUUUCCAAUAUGGUACAACUCACAAGAGCUUUCAUUCCUCUGGCAUAGCCUUUGAGAACUCAACACCAACUUAGUGCCAUGAUAAAACAUCAGAAUGGGAUUUUGUGAAAUUAAAUCAACAUAGACACUAAUACUCAGUGACUUCAAUGAAAAGGAAUAAAUAUAUGAGGAUGAUGAGAAAUGUAUUGAAGAGCAUGAGUCAGGAAGAAGACCAAAGAUUAAAUCAGGCUGUACCAAAGCCUCAUACUUUCACAUUACAAAUAUUUUCUUUGAGAAAAUAAUCGGUAGGUACAUGCGAAGCACUGAGCAACAUCAGAAAAAAAUGACUUCAUUGGCUGUCUCCCAUGCUUGGAAUGUUCUCCCUCUUCAUCCCUGCCUCAAGCUUCCCUGGCCCCCUUCAAGUCUCAUCUAAAAUCCCAACUUAUAUAGAAAGCCUUUCCCAAUCUCCCCAAAC
This is a long non-coding RNA of Trichosurus vulpecula (common brushtail), 1050 nucleotides long. RefSeq lists it as uncharacterized. Lineage: Eukaryota; Metazoa; Chordata; Mammalia; Diprotodontia; Phalangeridae. The transcript has 3 exons. The record is from RefSeq and is a predicted model, not a curated record.